Molecule: small nuclear RNA, 88 nt
Filed under: Panthera leo (lion)
Lineage: Eukaryota; Metazoa; Chordata; Mammalia; Carnivora; Felidae
Also listed under: 1 other name
Source: RNAcentral
AUAAAAUAAAAUUGGAAGGACACAGAGAAGACUAGCAUGGCCCUUAUGUAAGAAAGACAUACAAAUUUGGGAAACAAUGCAUAUUUUG